CUACUGGGGUAUCUAAUCCUGUUUGCUCCCCACACUUUCGUUCCUCAGCGUCAGUUACUGUCCAGAAAGUCGCCUUCGCCACUGGUGUUCUUCCUAAUAUCUACGCAUUUCACCGCUACACUAAGAAUUCCACUUUCCCCUCCAGUACUCAAGAAAAAUAGUUUCAAUUGCAGUUCCUCGGUUGAGCCGAGGGAUUUCACAUACUGACUUACUUUCCCGCCUACGAACCCUUUACACCCAAUAAAUCCGGAUAACGCUCGCCCCAUAUGUAUUACCGCGGCUGCUGGCAC
Molecule: ribosomal RNA, 290 nt
Filed under: uncultured Bacillota bacterium
Lineage: Bacteria; Bacillati; Bacillota
Description: uncultured Firmicutes bacterium partial 16S ribosomal RNA
Source: RNAcentral